GCGAGAAACCUUUGCAAUGUGCGCAAGCACGACAAGGUUAAUCCGAGUGUUUCCUGCUAAAGGAAUCUUUUGUUAGUUCUAAAACCACUGAUGAAUAAGAGGUGGGCAAGUUCUGGUGUCAGCCGCCGCGGUAAAACCAGCACCUCAAGUGGUCAGGAGGAUUAUUGGGCCUAAAGCAUCCGUAGCCGGUUCUGUAAGUUUUCGGUUAAAUCCACUAGCUUAACUAAUGGGCUGCCGAAAAUACUGCAGAACUAGGGAGUGGGAGAGGUAGACGGUACUCGGUAGGAAGGGGUAAAAUCCUUUGAUCUAUUGAUGACCACCUGUGGCGAAGGCGGUCUACCAGAACACGUUCGACGGUGAGGGAUGAAAGCUGGGGGAGCAAACCGGAUUAGAUACCCCGGUAGUCCCUGAGCGGGCUGGCAAGGCGCAU
Molecule: ribosomal RNA, 430 nt
Filed under: uncultured bacterium
Lineage: Bacteria
Description: bacterial SSU rRNA
Rfam family: Archaeal small subunit ribosomal RNA
Source: RNAcentral